UAGGGAAUCUUCGGCAAUGGACGAAAGUCUGACCGAGCAACGCCGCGUGAGUGAAGAAGGUUUUCGGAUCGUAAAACUCUGUUGUUAGAGAAGAACAAGGACGUUAGUAACUGAACGUCCCCUGACGGUAUCUAACCAGAAAGCCACGGCUAACUACGUGCCAGCAGCCGCGGUAAUACGUAGGUGGCAAGCGUUGUCCGGAAUUAUUGGGCGUAAAGCGAGCGCAGGCGGUUUCUUAAGUCUGAUGUGAAAGCCCCCGGCUCAACCGGGGAGGGUCAUUAGUAACUGGGAGACUUGAGUGCAGAAGAGGAGAGUGGAAUUCCAUGUGUAGCGGUGAAAUGCGUAGAUAUAUGGAGGAACACCAGUGGCGAAGGCGGCUCUCUGGUCUGUAACUGACGCUGAGGAUCGAAAGCGUGGGGAGCAAACAGG
This 429-nucleotide ribosomal RNA is filed under the name Gemmatimonadota bacterium. Its description in RNAcentral is "Gemmatimonadetes bacterium partial 16S ribosomal RNA". It matches the Rfam family "Bacterial small subunit ribosomal RNA", at positions 355 to 776 of the family's 1533-position model. The record is from RNAcentral. Lineage: Bacteria; Pseudomonadati; Gemmatimonadota.